GUCCUCUCAAAGUCCUUUAUUGUACAAUGUCAUCUGUUUCGGGGUCGGGGAAGGACUAACAGGUACACAGCGAAAUAGAUAAAUAUGCCAAGCUCUUUUCUUUUUAAAUCAGGCAUUUAUAAACAAGAAAGCAUACAUUAAUUACAUAAAAAUAGUUUCCGAGUAGCAGAGUAAGCAUCAUACUGUCGUUAGCAGCAGCGUGGGGCACGGGUGACACUGGCUGGACCCUCCCAGAGCCGAAGUGGGGAAGGGCUGCC
RNAcentral lists this long non-coding RNA (257 nucleotides) under Homo sapiens (human). Its description in RNAcentral is "HSALNT0000569". The record is from RNAcentral. Lineage: Eukaryota; Metazoa; Chordata; Mammalia; Primates; Hominidae.